CUAACGUGCCCCCGUCGCGGUCAAUCCCGCGACCGGGUUUGACGACCUGAGCA
This 53-nucleotide non-coding RNA is filed under the name Metapseudomonas resinovorans NBRC 106553. The record is from RNAcentral. Lineage: Bacteria; Pseudomonadati; Pseudomonadota; Gammaproteobacteria; Pseudomonadales; Pseudomonadaceae.